RNAcentral lists this transfer RNA (74 nucleotides) under Batrachochytrium dendrobatidis. RNAcentral describes it as "tRNA-Val". The record is from RNAcentral. RNAcentral also lists the same sequence under 3 other names. Lineage: Eukaryota; Fungi; Chytridiomycota; Chytridiomycetes; Rhizophydiales.
GGUUCUAUGGUGUAGUUGGUUAUCACAUGUCCUUAACACGGACAAGGUCUCCAGUUCAAUCCUGGAUGGAAUCA